Molecule: unclassified non-coding RNA, 279 nt
Filed under: plant metagenome
Description: partial contains small subunit ribosomal RNA, internal transcribed spacer 1, and 5.8S ribosomal RNA
Source: RNAcentral
UCUCCGUUGGUGAACCAGCGGAGGGAUCAUUACAGAGUUUUCACAACUCCCAACCCUUGCGAACCGUACCCAUUCUGUUCUCGUUGCUUCCGGCGGGGGGGACGGGGGGGCCCGAAACGGCCUCCCCGCUCCGCCCGCCGGGGGCGGCGGGCCCUACGAACCUUUAUAUCUCAACCACCAGAAACCGUCUGAGAAAACCAACAAAAUAAUCAAUACUUUCAACAACGGAUCUCUUGUCUCUCGCAUCGAUGGAGAACGCAUCAGAUCGGAAUAGCACAC